AAUUACUAAACAGGAUAUGAACACAUACUGUGCCCACCAUGCUUCAUUCUGUAUGGACCAGUCACAACAUACAAUUGUGCAAUUGGGCUUCCAUUCACAACACACAAUUGUGCAGUAAAGUGCACACUGCCCUCAAAGUCUGCAGGCAGAAUGGCCUUUCUUCGUAUUUGGGAUCUGCAAUCAUUAAUAGCAUACUUUUACCAGAUUUCUACGAAAAUUACUACAGGGCAACAAUUAACUAUUCCAGCUCUGUCUUUCUAUCCCCCUGGCAUCUUCAGAUGCGAAAUUCUUUCAAAUACCAUUUGGCCUGAAAACUCAACCAGGUUCACACAUUUGCAUUGAGUAAGCCUGAGAAUCUAAACAUUUUGCUUAUUCUCUUGUCCAAAUGCCUAUGCAUGUGGCAAGGGUGCCUUUGGCUUGCUUUUCUGCCCUCCUAAACCUAAAUCUGCAGUUCCAAAUUUUGAGUCCAGCUAAUAGGGUUCUCCAUUCUGUGUUGGAGCAGUCUUCAUGUGGGGAUUUCUCCUCUACUUUUCCUCUCCUCACUGUAACACAAUAUGGAGCCAAGUUAAUGGUACCUAGAAUCCACACAUAAGGGCUGAAAUCCACCUGGGAUUAACAAGACAGGGCCAGGCUUUGGAUCUUGUCCAGUGAAAUUUUGAGAUUGUGUGAGGAGCUCCUGGUAUAAACUGAAUCUGGUGGCAGAAUCUCUAAGUGUAAAGAAGCAUGUUAGCCAAGGGAAGUUAGGGCCACAACUGUCCAGAGCCAUGAAUGCAUGAAUGCAACCCCAUCUCCUAUGUGUGAGUUGUAUUACUGGAGAAAGUUUUUUUGUUGUUGUUUUUUAUUUGUUUAUUUUUUUAUGAGACAGAGUCUCUGUCUGUUGCCAGGCUGGAGUGCAGUGGCGUGACCUUGGCUCACUGCAACCUCUGCCUCCCUGGUUCAAGUGAUUCUCCUGCCUCAGCCUCCCAAGUAGCUGGGAUUACAGGCUCUCAUUUCUUGAUACUUGGGUGAAGAACAAGUAGGAGGUCUGGAGGCUCAAACUGAUAUGUAAACAAAUUGCUUUUAUUAUUAUUAUUUGCCAUUAGAAAAACAGGUGAAACAGUCAUGGACUCUACUAUUCAGGAAUUAUUAUUCUAGAGCCAGUAAAUACAUGGUUGAAUUAAGAGUAAUGUGAUCAGAAUGAAGAAGGGAGUUGCACAGAAGACUUGGGCUUUAUUUGGGACACUGCUCUUAUGUUGUUGUGAGUUCUGAUG
This 1250-nucleotide long non-coding RNA is filed under the name Homo sapiens (human). RNAcentral describes it as "LHRI_LNC352.1". The record is from RNAcentral. Lineage: Eukaryota; Metazoa; Chordata; Mammalia; Primates; Hominidae.